UAAGGAAUAUUGCGCAAUGGACGAAAGUCUGACGCAGCAACGCCGCGUGGGUGAUGAAGCAUCUUGGUGUGUAAAACCCUUUCAGUGGGGAAGAAACGUAUGACGAGUAACUGCGUCGUGCCUGACGGUACCCACAGAAGAAGUCCCGGCUAACUCCGUGCCAGCAGCCGCGGUAAUACGGGGGGGACAAGCGUUGUUCGGAUUUACUGGGCGUAAAGGGCGCGUAGGCGGACUGUCAAGUCGGAAGUGAAAACCGGAGGCUCAACCUCAGGCUUGCUCUCGAUACUGUCAGUCUUGAGUACAGAAGAGGAAAGCGGAAUUCCAGGUGUAGCGGUGAAAUGCGUAGAUAUCUGGAAGAACACCAGUAGCGAAGGCGGCUUUCUGGUCUGAAGCUGACGCUAAAGCGCGAAGGCUAGGGGAGCAAACAGGAUUAGAUACCCUGGUAGUCCUAGCGGUAAACGAUGGGUACUAGGUGUCGGGGGUAUCGACCCCCUCGGUGCCGAAGUUAACGCAUUAAGUACCCCGCCUGGGGAGUACGAUCGCAAGAUUG
RNAcentral lists this ribosomal RNA (550 nucleotides) under uncultured bacterium. RNAcentral's name for it is "bacterial SSU rRNA". It matches the Rfam family "Bacterial small subunit ribosomal RNA", at positions 355 to 896 of the family's 1533-position model. The record is from RNAcentral.